GAUGAAGAACGCAGUAAAAUGCGAUAAUUAAUGUGAAUUGCAGAAUUCAGUGAAUCAUCGAGUCUUUGAACGCACAUUGCGCCCCCUGGUAUUCCGGGGGGCAUGCCUGUCCGAGCGUCAUUGCUGCCCUCAAGCACGGCUUGUGUGUUGGGCUUCCGUCCCCGGCAACGGGGACGGGCCCAAAAGGCAGUGGCGGCACCAUGUCUGGUCCUCGAGCGUAUGGGGCUUUGUCACCCGCUCCCGUAGGUCCAGCUGGCAGCUAGCCUCGCAACCAAUCUUUUUAACCAGGUUGACCUCGGAUCAGGUAGGGAUACCCGCUGAACUUAAGCAUAUCAAUAAGCGGAGGA
RNAcentral lists this unclassified non-coding RNA (347 nucleotides) under soil metagenome. Its description in RNAcentral is "partial contains 5.8S ribosomal RNA, internal transcribed spacer 2, and large subunit ribosomal RNA". The stretch from base 1 to 120 matches the Rfam family "5.8S ribosomal RNA", at positions 35 to 154 of the family's 154-position model. The record is from RNAcentral.